ACUUUCAAAGGAUAGAAGCAAUCCAAUGGUCUUAGGAACCAUCCACCUUGGUGCAAAUCCAAGUGAAAGUA
This 71-nucleotide transfer RNA is filed under the name Cettia cetti. It matches the Rfam family "tRNA". Rfam says of the family: Transfer RNA (tRNA) molecules are approximately 80 nucleotides in length. Their secondary structure includes four short double-helical elements and three loops (D, anti-codon, and T loops). The record is from Rfam by way of RNAcentral. Lineage: Eukaryota; Metazoa; Chordata; Aves; Passeriformes; Sylviidae. RNAcentral also lists the same sequence under 4 other names.